CAUACGAAUGGCCGGUACAAAGGGCAGCAACCGCGAGGGGGAGCCAAUCCAUCAAAGCCGGUCGUAGUCCGGAUCGCAGUCUGCAACUCGACUGCGUGAAGUCGGAAUCGCUAGUAAUCGUGGAUCAGCAUGUCACGGUGAAUACGUUCCCGGGUCUU
RNAcentral lists this ribosomal RNA (158 nucleotides) under uncultured Comamonadaceae bacterium. Its description in RNAcentral is "partial 16S ribosomal RNA". It matches the Rfam family "Bacterial small subunit ribosomal RNA", at positions 1223 to 1382 of the family's 1533-position model. The record is from RNAcentral. Lineage: Bacteria; Pseudomonadati; Pseudomonadota; Betaproteobacteria; Burkholderiales; Comamonadaceae.